UACGAAGGGGGCUAGCGUUGUUCGGAAUUACUGGGCGUAAAGCGCGCGCAGGCGGCUAUCCAAGUCAGUGGUGAAAGCCCGGAGCUCAACUCCGGAACUGCCAUUGAAACUGUUUAGCUUGAGGAUGAGAGAGGUGAGUGGAAUUCCCAGUGUAGAGGUGAAAUUCGUAGAUAUUGGGAAGAACACCGGUGGCGAAGGCGGCUCACUGGCUCAUUACUGACGCUCAGGCGCGAUAGCGUGGGGAUCAAACAGGG
Molecule: ribosomal RNA, 254 nt
Filed under: uncultured bacterium
Lineage: Bacteria
Description: partial 16S ribosomal RNA
Rfam family: Bacterial small subunit ribosomal RNA
Source: RNAcentral